UGCUUAACACAUGCAAGUCGAACGAUGAAGCCCUUCGGGGUGGAUUAGUGGCGAACGGGUGAGUAACACGUGGGCAAUCUGCCCUGCACUCUGGGACAAGCCCUGGAAACGGGGUCUAAUACCGGAUAUGAUCACCGGCCGCAUGGUCUGGUGAUGGAAAGCUCCGGCGGUGCAGGAUGAGCCCGCGGCCUAUCAGCUUGUUGGUGGGGUGAUGGCCUACCAAGGCGACGACGGGUAGCCGGCCUGAGAGGGCGACCGGCCACACUGGGACUGAGACACGGCCCAGACUCCUACGGGAGGCAGCAGUGGGGAAUAUUGCACAAUGGGCGCAAGCCUGAUGCAGCGACGCCGCGUGAGGGAUGACGGCCUUCGGGUUGUAAACCUCUUUCAGCAGGGAAGAAGCGCAAGUGACGGUACCUGCAGAAGAAGCGCCGGCUAACUACGUGCCAGCAGCCGCGGUAAUACGUAGGGCGCAAGCGUUGUCCGGAAUUAUUGGGCGUAAAGAGCUCGUAGGCGGCCUGUCGCGUCGGAUGUGAAAGCCCGGGGCUUAACCCCGGGUCUGCAUUCGAUACGGGCAGGCUAGAGUUCGGUAGGGGAGAUCGGAAUUCCUGGUGUAGCGGUGAAAUGCGCAGAUAUCAGGAGGAACACCGGUGGCGAAGGCGGAUCUCUGGGCCGAUACUGACGCUGAGGAGCGAAAGCGUGGGGAGCG
Molecule: ribosomal RNA, 709 nt
Filed under: Streptomyces sp. Sp080513KE-27
Lineage: Bacteria; Bacillati; Actinomycetota; Actinomycetes; Kitasatosporales; Streptomycetaceae
Description: bacterial SSU rRNA
Rfam family: Bacterial small subunit ribosomal RNA
Source: RNAcentral